GGGGGUAUAGCUCAGUGGUACAGCACAUGCUUAGCAUGCAUGAGGUCCUGGUUCAAUCCCCAGUACCUCCA
This 71-nucleotide transfer RNA is filed under the name Camelus bactrianus (Bactrian camel). It matches the Rfam family "tRNA". Rfam says of the family: Transfer RNA (tRNA) molecules are approximately 80 nucleotides in length. Their secondary structure includes four short double-helical elements and three loops (D, anti-codon, and T loops). The record is from Rfam by way of RNAcentral. RNAcentral also lists the same sequence under 1 other name. Lineage: Eukaryota; Metazoa; Chordata; Mammalia; Artiodactyla; Camelidae.